CCUAAAACUACGAUUCAUUUCCACGAAUCUGAACCUCCAACCUCCCUCGCCCUCUCUCAACUCUGGAGAAAAGUAAAAACUCACAACAAUUCACAGAUCGAACAACAAAUACAAACAAAACCUAAAACCUAGCUUAGCUUCCAACUCACCCCUCGAAACACCAGAAAAGCAUAAUAAUGCUAAUUUAACAUCUACAAGCACCCUUCCAGAGAUAAAACUAGUGAAAAGUUAGAUCCAAAAUCCAGCUCCAAUAGCGGCAUUUAACGUUCGCUUCUCUUUACAGAGCCAAAACCA
This 294-nucleotide unclassified non-coding RNA is filed under the name Hevea brasiliensis (rubber tree). The record is from RNAcentral. Lineage: Eukaryota; Viridiplantae; Streptophyta; Magnoliopsida; Malpighiales; Euphorbiaceae.